GAUCAUGGCUACGAGGACGAACGCUGGCGGCAUGCCUAACACAUGCAAGUCGAACGGGGGUAGCAAUACCCUAGUGGCGAACGGGUGAGUAACACAUAAGCAAUCUGCCCUUCACAGGGGGAUAACAGCGGGAAACUGCUGCUAAUACCGCAUAAGACCACGGUACCGCAUGGUACAGGGGUAAAAACGAAUCAGUGGUGAAGGAUGAGCUUAUGUCCCAUUAGCUAGUUGGUGAGAUAACAGCCCACCAAGGCGACGAUGGGUAGCCGACCUGAGAGGGUGAUCGGCCACACUGGAACUGAGACACGGUCCAGACUCCUACGGGAGGCAGCAGUGGGGAAUAUUGGGCAAUGGAGGAAAAACCUCUUACCCAGCAAUGCCGCGUGAGUGAAGAAGGUCUUCGGAUUGUAAAGCUCUUUGAUUGGGGACGAAGAAAGUGACGGUACCCAAAGAACAAGCCCCGGCUAACUACGUGCCAGCCGCAGC
Molecule: ribosomal RNA, 486 nt
Filed under: uncultured bacterium
Lineage: Bacteria
Description: bacterial SSU rRNA
Rfam family: Bacterial small subunit ribosomal RNA
Source: RNAcentral